This 1758-nucleotide ribosomal RNA is filed under the name Nostoc sp. 04117_00004. Its description in RNAcentral is "bacterial SSU rRNA". The stretch from base 1 to 1164 matches the Rfam family "Bacterial small subunit ribosomal RNA", at positions 356 to 1533 of the family's 1533-position model. The record is from RNAcentral. Lineage: Bacteria; Bacillati; Cyanobacteriota; Cyanophyceae; Nostocales; Nostocaceae.
GGGGAAUUUUCCGCAAUGGGCGAAAGCCUGACGGAGCAAUACCGCGUGAGGGAGGAAGGCUCUUGGGUCGUAAACCUCUUUUCUCAGGGAAGAACACAAUGACGGUACUUGAGGAAUAAGCAUCGGCUAACUCCGUGCCAGCAGCCGCGGUAAUACGGAGGAUGCAAGCGUUAUCCGGAAUGAUUGGGCGUAAAGGGUCCGCAGGUGGCAAUGUAAGUCUGCUGUUAAAGAGUCUAGCUUAACUAGAUAAAAGCAGUGGAAACUACAUAGCUAGAGUACGUUCGGGGCAGAGGGAAUUCCUGGUGUAGCGGUGAAAUGCGUAGAGAUCAGGAAGAACACCAGUGGCGAAGGCGCUCUGCUAGGCCGUAACUGACACUGAGGGACGAAAGCUAGGGGAGCGAAUGGGAUUAGAUACCCCAGUAGUCCUAGCCGUAAACGAUGGAUACUAGGCGUGGCUUGUAUCGACCCGAGCCGUGCCGUAGCUAACGCGUUAAGUAUCCCGCCUGGGGAGUACGCCGGCAACGGUGAAACUCAAAGGAAUUGACGGGGGCCCGCACAAGCGGUGGAGUAUGUGGUUUAAUUCGAUGCAACGCGAAGAACCUUACCAAGGCUUGACAUGUCGCGAAUCUUGAUGAAAGUUGAGAGUGCCUUCGGGAGCGCGAACACAGGUGGUGCAUGGCUGUCGUCAGCUCGUGUCGUGAGAUGUUGGGUUAAGUCCCGCAACGAGCGCAACCCUCGUUUUUAGUUGCCAGCAUUGAGUUGGGCACUCUAGAGAGACUGCCGGUGACAAACCGGAGGAAGGUGGGGAUGACGUCAAGUCAGCAUGCCCCUUACGCCUUGGGCUACACACGUACUACAAUGCUCCGGACAGAGGGCAGCAAGAUAGCGAUGUCAAGCAAAUCCCAGAAACCGGAGCUCAGUUCAGAUCGCAGGCUGCAACUCGCCUGCGUGAAGGAGGAAUCGCUAGUAAUUGCAGGUCAGCAUACUGCAGUGAAUUCGUUCCCGGGCCUUGUACACACCGCCCGUCACACCAUGGAAGCUGGUAGUGCCCGAAGUCAUUACUCCAACCUUUCGGGGAGGAGGAUGCCGAAGGCAGGACUGGUGACUGGGGUGAAGUCGUAACAAGGUAGCCGUACCGGAAGGUGUGGCUGGAUCACCUCCUUUUGAGGGAGACCUACACCCCUUACAAAUCGAAAAGCAAACAGCCAUAUAGAGAGUAAGUUGGUCGAACCGAGGUCGGUCGCAGACAUUUUGUUUUGGGUAGAAAGCUUUCAAACUAUAAUUUGGUUCGUUUUUGGGCUAUUAGCUCAGGUGGUUAGAGCGCACCCCUGAUAAGGGUGAGGUCCCUGGUUCGAGUCCAGGAUGGCCCACCUGAAAACAGUGAAUAGUGAACAGUAAACAGUGGUCAGAAAAAACUGAUAGCUGGUAACUGAUAACUGAUAACUGAAUUGGGGGGUUUAGCUCAGUUGGUAGAGCGCCUGCUUUGCAAGCAGGAUGUCAGCGGUUCGAGUCCGCUAACCUCCACCUGAUGGUGAUUGCCAAAAUUCCCUUUGAUUGUGAGAAAUCAGCAACAUGACAUGAGUGUCAGACUGCUGAGAAGAUUCUCAGCCAGAACCUUGAAAACUGCAUAGAAACGCGAAAAUAGCAGGCAGACACAGACAUUCGGUAGGGAUGAUUUUGUGAAUGCAUUUGUGAAAGACCAAAUAAUUGAGUGGUCAAGAGAAUAAGGGCUAACGGUGGAUACCUAGGCACACAGAG